AUGGUUUUCUGUUUUAUAGGGAUCGUUUCAAUUGCACCAAACCAUGAGAGCUACUAUGGGGCCAACCAGCCCAACCCUUCUGAACCUGUGCAGAAUUCUUGCUUGAAGGGAUAAAUGGACUUCUUUCGGACACCAGGUUUCAGAUAUGGCAUUCAGGUUUGCAGGAAUUGUGAUUGAAGGUCGUUGUUUCAAACGGAGAUAGUUUGUUUGUUCAAGCCCAC
RNAcentral lists this long non-coding RNA (221 nucleotides) under Helianthus annuus (common sunflower). RNAcentral describes it as "sRNA HanXRQr2_Chr15g0711381". Lineage: Eukaryota; Viridiplantae; Streptophyta; Magnoliopsida; Asterales; Asteraceae. The record is from RNAcentral.